RNAcentral lists this non-coding RNA (24 nucleotides) under Arabidopsis thaliana (thale cress). The record is from RNAcentral. Lineage: Eukaryota; Viridiplantae; Streptophyta; Magnoliopsida; Brassicales; Brassicaceae.
UUGAAAGAUCCGUGUACAGGAGAC